UACGCAGAGCCGGCGGGCCCACACAGGUCA
RNAcentral lists this non-coding RNA (30 nucleotides) under Homo sapiens (human). Lineage: Eukaryota; Metazoa; Chordata; Mammalia; Primates; Hominidae. The record is from RNAcentral.